GACGAACGCUGGCGGCGUGCUUAACACAUGCAAGUCGAACGGAAAGGCCCUGCUUGCAGGGUACUCGAGUGGCGAACGGGUGAGUAACACGUGGGUGAUCUGCCCUGCACUUCGGGAUAAGCCUGGGAAACUGGGUCUAAUACCGGGUAGGAGCCAUUUUUAGUGUGAUGGUUGGAAAGUUUUUUCGGUGUAGGAUGAGCUCGCGGCCUAUCAGCUUGUUGGUGGGGUAAUGGCCUACCAAGGCGGCGACGGGUAGCCGGCCUGAGAGGGUGGACGGCCACAUUGGGACUGAGAUACGGCCCAGACUCCUACGGGAGGCAGCAGUGGGGAAUAUUGCACAAUGGGCGCAAGCCUGAUGCAGCGACGCCGCGUGGGGGAUGACGGCCUUCGGGUUGUAAACUCCUUUCGCUAGGGACGAAGCUUUUUGUGACGGUACCUAGAUAAGAAGCACCGGCUAACUACGUG
This 465-nucleotide ribosomal RNA is filed under the name uncultured bacterium. Its description in RNAcentral is "partial 16S ribosomal RNA". It matches the Rfam family "Bacterial small subunit ribosomal RNA", at positions 28 to 507 of the family's 1533-position model. The record is from RNAcentral.